RNAcentral lists this ribosomal RNA (253 nucleotides) under uncultured bacterium. RNAcentral describes it as "partial 16S ribosomal RNA". It matches the Rfam family "Bacterial small subunit ribosomal RNA", at positions 524 to 776 of the family's 1533-position model. The record is from RNAcentral.
UACGUAGGGUGCAAACGUUGCUCGGAAUUAUUGGGCGUAAAGCGCACGUAGGCGGCUUAGCAAGUCGGAAGUGAAAGCCCUCGGCUCAACCAAGGAAGUGCAUUGGAAACUGCAGUGCUUGAGUACUUAAGAGGAUCGCGGAAUUCCCGGUGUAGAGGUGAAAUUCGUAGAUAUCGGGAGGAACACCAGUGGCGAAGGCGGCGAUCUGGGAAGAUACUGACGCUGAGGUGCGAAAGCGUGGGGAGCAAACAGG